Molecule: ribosomal RNA, 497 nt
Filed under: uncultured bacterium
Lineage: Bacteria
Description: partial 16S ribosomal RNA
Rfam family: Bacterial small subunit ribosomal RNA
Source: RNAcentral
GACGAACGCUGGCGGCGUGCCUAAUACAUGCAAGUUGAGCGCUGAAGGUUGGUUCUUGUCCCAACUGGGUGAGCAGCGAACGGGUGAGUAACGCGUGGGGAAUCUGCCUUUGAGCGGGGGACAACAUUUGGAAACGAAUGCUAAUACCGCAUAAAAACUUUAAACACAAGUUUUAAGUUUGAAAGAUGCAAUUGCAUCACUCAAAGAUGAUCCCGCGUUGUAUUAGCUAGUUGGUGAGGUAAAGGCUCACCAAGGCGAUGAUACAUAGCCGACCUGAGAGGGUGGUCGGCCACAUUGGGACUGAGACACGGCCCAAACUCCUACGGGAGCGAGCAGUAGGGAAUCUUCGGCAAUGGACGAAAGUCUGACCGAGCAACGCCGCGUGAGGGAAGAAGGUUUUCGGAUCGUAAAACUCUGUUGGUAGAGAAGAACGUUGGUGAGAGUGGAAAGCUCAUCAAGUGACGGUAACUACCCAGAAAGGGACGGCUAACUACGUG